GAGGAAUAUUGGGCAAUGCCCGCAAGGGUGACCCAGCAACGCCGCGUGGAGGAUGAAUGUCGUAAGAUUGUAAACUCCUGUUAGAGGGGAAGAAUAGUACCGGUUGGACCGGUAUAUGACUGUACCCUCAGAGAAAGCCCCGGCUAACUACGUGCCAGCAGCCGCGGUAAUACGUAGGGGGCAAGCGUUGUCCGGAUUUACUGGGUGUAAAGGGCGCGCAGGCGGGAUAAAAAGUCAGUGGUGAAAUCCUACAGCUUAACUGUAGAACUGCCUUUUAUACUUUUAUUCUUGAGUUCGGGAGAGAGAGACGGAAUUCCAGGUGUAGUGGUGAAAUACGUAGAUAUCUGGAAGAACACCAGUUGCGAAGGCGGUCUCUUGAUCCGACACUGACGCUGAGGCGCGAAAGCGUGGGGAGCAAACA
This 421-nucleotide ribosomal RNA is filed under the name uncultured bacterium. Its description in RNAcentral is "bacterial SSU rRNA". It matches the Rfam family "Bacterial small subunit ribosomal RNA", at positions 356 to 774 of the family's 1533-position model. The record is from RNAcentral.